AGAUUGAACGCUGGCGGCAGGCCUAACACAUGCAAGUCGGGCGGCAGCACGGGUACUUGUACCUGGUGGCGAGCGGCGGACGGGUGAGUAAUGCCUAGGAAUCUGCCUGGUAGUGGGGGAUAACGCUCGGAAACGGACGCUAAUACCGCAUACGUCCUACGGGAGAAAGCAGGGGACCUUCGGGCCUUGCGCUAUCAGAUGAGCCUAGGUCGGAUUAGCUAGUUGGUGAGGUAAUGGCUCACCAAGGCGACGAUCCGUAACUGGUCUGAGAGGAUGAUCAGUCACACUGGAACUGAGACACGGUCCAGACUCGUUAGGGAGCAGCAGGUGGGGAAUC
RNAcentral lists this ribosomal RNA (337 nucleotides) under uncultured soil bacterium. Its description in RNAcentral is "bacterial SSU rRNA". It matches the Rfam family "Bacterial small subunit ribosomal RNA", at positions 26 to 363 of the family's 1533-position model. The record is from RNAcentral.